Long non-coding RNA from Lineus longissimus, 374 nucleotides. RefSeq lists it as uncharacterized. NCBI's taxonomy places the organism in Eukaryota, Metazoa, Nemertea, Pilidiophora, Heteronemertea, Lineidae. The record is from RefSeq and is a predicted model, not a curated record. The transcript is spliced from 3 exons.
GCCUCAAGUAAUGGGAAUGGUGACUUGGUUGAAGCAAAGUGGCUCUCCAUUCUAAACCAUGUUGCCGACGUACACGAUGGGCAUGGGGAUUUGUACCCAAAAUGUCUUCAUGGUCCUCUAGAAGACAGAGAAUGGAUCAAGAAAGGUAGCAAGGCCCACAAGGAACUUACGCUGAUUCUCACUCAAAAGAUAUUGCUCAAGGACAUCAGAAAGGUUUCACCAGGAGUACAGACUUCAUCUCUUGAGUCGUAUCACAAAAUUGUUGGUUAUUUCGCUCCCAAAUCCCGCCAUUUCUUCUAUGAGCCAAUGAAAGCAAGGUUACUGCUCGCCACACUCCACUUUAAUGAAAAUUCAAAUCGGAAACAGUGUAUGGG